GUUAGGGUGGCAGAGCCUGGUAAUUGCAAAAGAUCUAAGCCCUUUUAAGCAGAGGUUCAAAUCCUCUCCCUAACU
RNAcentral lists this transfer RNA (75 nucleotides) under Trigonopoma gracile (blackstripe rasbora). RNAcentral's name for it is "tRNA-Leu". It matches the Rfam family "tRNA". From Rfam's summary of the family: Transfer RNA (tRNA) molecules are approximately 80 nucleotides in length. Their secondary structure includes four short double-helical elements and three loops (D, anti-codon, and T loops). Further hydrogen bonds mediate the characteristic L-shaped molecular structure. tRNAs have two regions of fundamental functional importance: the anti-codon, which is responsible for specific mRNA codon recognition, and the 3' end, to which the tRNAs corresponding amino acid is attached (by aminoacyl-tRNA synthetases). tRNAs cope with the degeneracy of the genetic code in two manners: having more than one tRNA (with a specific anti-codon) for a particular amino acid; and 'wobble' base-pairing, i.e. permitting non-standard base-pairing at the 3rd anti-codon position. The record is from RNAcentral. Lineage: Eukaryota; Metazoa; Chordata; Actinopteri; Cypriniformes; Danionidae.